GAUGAAGAACGUAGCGAAAUGCGAUACGUAAUGUGAAUUGCAGAUUUCAGUGAAUCAUCGAAUCUUUGAACGCACAUUGCGCCCGCUAGUAUUCUGGCGGGCAUGCCUGUUCGAGCGUCAUUUCAACCAUCAAGCCCUAGGCUUGCGUUGGAGCCCUGCGGCUGCCGCAGGCUCCCAAAUCCAGUGGCGGGCUCGUCGUCGUACCGAGUGCAGUAAACAUCCUCGCUCAGGGAACGUGACGGGUUCUUGCCGUGAAACCCCCCACAUAUCAAGGUUGACCUCGGAUCAGGUAGGAAUACCCGCUGAACUUAAGCAUAUCAAUAAGCGGAAGA
RNAcentral lists this unclassified non-coding RNA (332 nucleotides) under soil metagenome. RNAcentral describes it as "partial contains 5.8S ribosomal RNA, internal transcribed spacer 2, and large subunit ribosomal RNA". The stretch from base 1 to 120 matches the Rfam family "5.8S ribosomal RNA", at positions 35 to 154 of the family's 154-position model. The record is from RNAcentral.